Molecule: ribosomal RNA, 3600 nt
Filed under: Triticum aestivum (bread wheat)
Lineage: Eukaryota; Viridiplantae; Streptophyta; Magnoliopsida; Poales; Poaceae
Description: partial small subunit ribosomal RNA
Source: RNAcentral
AUGUCAAAGUUCCUGAAUACCACGUGCCCACGGGCUCUGUACCGUGCGCACGGGGCCCCCGUGCCCAGGGGCUCUGUACCGUGCGCACGGAGUCUGCGGUUUCUGGCCCUGAAGAGGUGGGACGUGGGGCGUGGGGGGGCUCGGGUUCAUUCCCACCCAUUCUCCCCCUCCACUCCCCAGGAAACCUCCAGCGCCGCCGCCGUCGCCUCCGCUCGCCGGAGCUCCUCCGUGCUUCGUUGGGUUUCUUCCUCCGUGGAUCUGCAUCAGAUGGGUUCCUCCUCCGACUCCGCUGACAAGAGGUCUGAGCUUCGUCGCAAGCGUGCAAAAGGAGGAUCAAAGGACUACACCAUUGCUCGUCGUCAGCCGUCUGAAGGCAUGGGUCAGGGGUCUGGGUUAGGUCAGGGCCGUGUUCGCCGUGCUGCCUUAAAGCGGCCCAUUGUUGAGACCUCCGAUAAUUCUGAGGAAGAUUAUGACUCGCAAGAUGAUGCUUUCUAUGACAACCCCAAUGUUGAUGAUGAGAUAGAAGAAGAGGAUGAUCGUGUUGAGGAAGAUGAAGAAGAGGAAGAGUGGACCAAGCCAGAGAUCUGGGCUGAGAGACAGAGCCAUCCUUAUGCAGCUGCCACUGGUAUGGGAGUGGAUCCUCGCUUCAAGAACGAGUUUCAGCAAAGGGUCUAUCAUGAGCUUCUUAUGACCAAGUCAAAGAAGUUUGCUCCUCACAAGCAAGUCAACACUGAGAGUUUGCGCGACAAUGAUCAUCUGUAUCCCGGUGUGUACUCCGCUCUUGGCAGAUUGGAUCUUAUUCCAUUUGUCACCUUCAACCAUCCCUAUAAUGAAGAACUAGUGAUGCAGUUCUUUGCCACUAUGUUUUUCUCCAAUGACUCUGCUCGCACCCUCACUUGGAUGUCUGGAACGCAUCGGUGCUCGGCUCCUAUGGCAAAGUUCUCUGAGAUCAUUCCCUACCCAUUUAUGGAUGCAGAGGCUGUUUCUGAUGAGUUUGGCAUUGUUAGGGAAAGUGGGCAGCGCACUAAGGAUGAGAUUGCCUUUGCUUACAAACAAGAGAAGUCGUUUGUCGCUGGGUCAAUCAAAUAUCUCUUGCCCCUCUAUGACACCAUGCGCCAUAUCCUGAGGUAUACCCUCACUCCAAAGGCCGGGGAUUCCCAUAACAUUCGGAGCUCCAUGCUAGAUGUCUUUGUGUAUCUUCAUCAGAAGAAGAAAGUGGAUGUUCUGGAUUUCAUGUACUAUGAACUUCGUCAGUGUGUGCAAGAGAACAAGUCCUUGAUCUAUGCUCCAUUCAUACAGGCUUUGAUUGAGACCGUCUGUCCUGCAAAGUACAUUGCCUCUUUCAAGACCUCUGUUCCUAAGCGCAACUCCAACUGGACCUCGGCUGCUCCUGCUCCUUAUGUGCCUAUCAAGAAGGGGUGCAACCCUAGGCCUAAGGAUCGUGCCACUUAUACUCCAGGCAUGUCCUCUACUGCACGGAUCCCUCGUGGUAAGGCCAAGUCUGCUGGUUCUGAGGCCAUCUUUGCCAGGGGAGAGAAGAAGUCUCUGUUCAAGACCUUGAGCAACAUGUUCAAGAUGUGCCAGUCGAUUCAGCGUCGUCAGAUCAAGGAAAUCAACAAGGAGAAGCUUGUUCGGCGUGAGCAGAAGGCAGCAAGGGCUGCUGCUGGUGAGGAGGUCGGUCCAGGUUCAGAGGACAACAAGAGUGAGGCCACUGCUCGAUCUUUCCCGAUGGCCGGGUGGCGUUUUGAUGAUGAUGAUGAUGCCUUGAGUGCUCCUCCUCUUCCCGCGCUCAAGCACCUGCCACACCGUCGCUUCCUCGUCCGUCGUGUGCGAGAGGAGGGCAGGGAAUGCCGCGGUGACAGGCCCACAGGGGAGCCAGCAGUCGAACCAGAAGGAUUUCCUCCUCCCAUCCUGCACUGCCACCCUGGAGAGGCUCCGGUAGAGCGGGAGCAUGGCGCACAACGCCCUUCCGUGCUCCCCCAUGCAGCGGAAGCUGGCAGGGCUAGGAGCGAGCUAUCGUCGAGGCCCGUCCAGACCCAUGCGGCCCAGCACAAGGACGAGGUGGCCAUGUGGAGCCGGUGGAGCAUCUUGAGAAGAAGGCACAUGUUGUGUGUCCCGAGGAACCAUCGGCCAAGGUGGGGAGAUGGCCGAAGCACUGCAUUUUCUGCGUCCCACCGCGCUUCAAGCGUCUACAAGCUACAGACGGUGUCUCUCGGCGCCCAGGACCUAAAAUCCACGGAGGAGCACAAGUUGUGGGCCGUCCAUCACCUCCUUGGCCGGGACAGCUGCAAGACCAUCCUCGACCACCUCGUCACGGCCAUGGAGGAGGUGGCCCACGAGCAGGAGGACACCUACAUGGACCUGGGUGAAGAGUGGAGGGGCGAGGAGAACAGGGGCAAGUUACUUGAGAUGAUGAUCACAAAUGGUUGCUUCCUGCUGGAGCUGGUAUGGCAUGCAGCACAUCAAGCCGUUCAUGACAUGCUCAUGGUCAAGAACCAGCUUCCAUGUCAAGGGCAUGAAUCUGAAGAUCGAUGUGUGAUAUAUGACUGCCCUAAUAAAUUAUGGUGGCAGUCAGAUGCCGGGGCGGAGGGAUGCGGUGUUUCGAUGUGCUCCCACACUCCCGCUGCUGUUGCUGCUCGACGGGAGGAUAAAGAAGAGGGAACGAGAGAGGAAUCAGAUGUGGAAGGCAGGGAGGCGGCUUCCAGAAAAUCCAUGGUGCUCAAUUUUCCGGGGCUAAAAGAUGCACCGGUCGGAGACAAGCUGGGACUCCACCCACUCGGCAUCUACCAGACGAGCCAUCUCGAGAGCAUCCAAAAGCAUAUUGAUAAGAGAGCCCUGGCCCGAUCGGCGCAGAAGCUGGCCGAGGCAGGGAUCCGGUUAGUGCCCAGAGAGACAAGCUGCCUCAAAGACUUCAGGUUCGAUGGGACUCAUGGGAGGCUCCAGAUGCAUGACUCCACCGCCUAUAUGUUCCGCAACAUGAUGGUGUUCGAGGUGCUGCACCUCGUCACCUACCAUGUUCAGAUGCAAGGACCUAGUCGACUCCGCCUACCAUGUUCGGCUGCUGGUAAGGAACGGGGUCCUGGAGCACGACCUUGCAACGACAAGGCUGUGGUGAGGCUCUUCGACAGCCUCGCCAGGGACAUGACCAGGAACUUGGAGAAUCAGCUGGGGAACAUGAACGUGCGUCAAGGCGUGGAGAGCUACUGCACCAACUGCGUGCGCCUCUUCCUUUAUGAUUCGUGGGCCUACCUCAUGACCAAGCACUUGAGUAACCCCUGGACGUUCCUUGCCCUCGUCACCGCCACCUUGAUGCUCAUCGUAGAUAUCGUGCAGGCCGUGAAGAUUUCAUUCUUUGAAAAAGAUCUGGGCAAGGAGGAGGGCAAGGGGGAGGCUCAUGGAGUGGUGUUCCCCGGCCUUUGUCCAUGCCCCAGGGGUGCCCCAACCCCUGAUGGGUCCCACUGCUUCCCCCUUUUGCAAGACGAAAGUGGUAUGGCCACAAAGGGUGUUCACUUUGUGGACUACUCGAACUACUUUCUUUUGUUUAAUGAAGAUGGUUGUGUGCACCGUGAUGGUGCUGAGGUCGGGGCAGUCUACUUCUAA